This 395-nucleotide ribosomal RNA is filed under the name uncultured bacterium. RNAcentral's name for it is "partial 16S ribosomal RNA". It matches the Rfam family "Bacterial small subunit ribosomal RNA", at positions 338 to 730 of the family's 1533-position model. The record is from RNAcentral.
CCUACGGGAGGCUGCAGUGAGGAAUAUUGGUCAAUGGGCGCGAGCCUGAACCAGCCAAGCAGCGUGAAGGAUGACUGUCCUACGCGUUGUAAACUUCUUUUAUCAAGGAAUAAAGUCAGGCUCGAGAGCCUUUUCGAAGGUACUUUAUGAAUAAGCAUCGGCUAACUCCGUGCCAGCAGCCGCGGUAAUACGGAGGAUCCGAGCGUUAUCCGGAUUUAUUGGGUUUAAAGGGUGCGUAGAGGGGUUGUUAAGUCAGGUGUGAAAGGUUGCGGCUCAACCGUAAAAUUGCAAUUGAUACUGGCAGUCUUGAGAUCAGGUGAGGUAGGCGGAAUGCGUAGUGUAGCGGUGAAAUGCUUAGAUAUCGCGAAGAACUCCGAUUGCGAAGGCAGCAUACU